AGAGUUUGAUCCUGGCUCAGAACGAACGCUGGCGGCAGGCUUAACACAUGCAAGUCGAGCGCCCGCAAGGGGAGCGGCAGACGGGUGAGUAACGCGUGGGAAUCUACCGUGCCCUACGGAAUAGCUCCGGGAAACUGGAAUUAAUACCGUAUACGCCCUUUGGGGGAAAGAUUUAUCGGGGUAUGAUGAGCCCGCGUUGGAUUAGCUAGUUGGUGGGGUAAAGGCCUACCAAGGCGACGAUCCAUAGCUGGUCUGAGAGGAUGAUCAGCCACAUUGGGACUGAGACACGGCCCAAACUCCUACGGGAGGCAGCAGUGGGGAAUAUUGGACAAUGGGCGCAAGCCUGAUCCAGCCAUGCCGCGUGAGUGAUGAAGGCCCUAGGGUUGUAAAGCUCCUUCACCGGUGAAGAUAAUGACGGUAACCGGAGAAGAAGCCCCGGCUAACUUCGUG
RNAcentral lists this ribosomal RNA (450 nucleotides) under uncultured Hyphomicrobiales bacterium. RNAcentral describes it as "bacterial SSU rRNA". It matches the Rfam family "Bacterial small subunit ribosomal RNA", at positions 8 to 507 of the family's 1533-position model. Lineage: Bacteria; Pseudomonadati; Pseudomonadota; Alphaproteobacteria; Hyphomicrobiales. The record is from RNAcentral.